RNAcentral lists this ribosomal RNA (253 nucleotides) under uncultured bacterium. RNAcentral's name for it is "partial 16S ribosomal RNA". It matches the Rfam family "Bacterial small subunit ribosomal RNA", at positions 524 to 776 of the family's 1533-position model. The record is from RNAcentral.
UACGUAGGUGGCAAGCGUUGUCCGGAUUCAUUGGGCUUAAAGGGUGCGUAGGCGGCCCUGUAAGUCAGUGCUGAAAUAUCCCAGCUUAACUGGGAGGGUGGCAUUGAUACUGCGGGGCUAGAGUACAGAUGAGGUAGGCGGAAUUGACGGUGUAGCGGUGAAAUGCUUAGAUAUCGUCAAGAACACCUAUAGCGAAGGCAGCUUACUAGGCUGUAACUGACGCUGAGGCACGAAAGUGUGGGGAUCAAACAGG